CGCACAUUUUGUUUGUAACUGGUGUAUGGGAAAUAACACUAUUGGUCCUGUAGAGACAGACUCUUAUUUUCCUUUCUUUUGGUUCUCAAGAGAGAGGCGUUUAAGCCAGCUCUCGCCGGCAGGGUGUUCCCUCUGGUUCUCUUUUGGUUAUAAAACCUUUAUUCAAGCGAAAAAAAAAAAAAAAAAAAAAAGAAGUUACUCGAGGAGAUCAUAUUCUCAUGGGGAACCCUUUUAUGGCGGCUGCAACAUCCCGAGAAAGAUUGUUUGUUAAAUUCCUUUUUGAGCUGUUUGCUUUCAAAAGGGGAUUUUAAAGAGCGGAUUUUUGGUCUGUCUGGAAAGUGAGAGGUUAAGGAGACUUAAUAUCGUAUAAUUUCGGAUUUGCUUAACAUAUGUGUUAAUAGAUUGUUGAGUGGUGAUAUAAAUUAUGUGUGCAAUAUAAAUUGAUUUAGUAGACUAGUGGGACUGUGUUGUUAUAUAUUUUAAAAUAUAUGCUUCUUAGAGGAAAUUUGAUAUGCAUUUCUCUAGUCGUUUCUCAUAUCAGGUUUGAUCUCUGUACAGAGAGUCCAGUUGGAUUUGUUGCAACUCUGUGGAUGAUUCUUCUUAGUAUGUUUCCUUAUCCUUCUGUUUACUACUAUUUGUUCGGUUAAUUGUGUAACUUGAGGAUCUAUUUGUUUGAAUUUGAGGUCUUGACAUGGAGGCUGCAUUUCAGUUUUUUCUCUUGAACUUAUUUGUUAUUUGCUGUACAAUGAAGGGUUUAUUUUCUGUCAUAACUUGAAAUGGAAAAGUAAAAAAAAUUCGUUGUACUUACAUAGAGGAUUCUUGAAUCCCACUGAAAUUGUUUUCUAAGUGAACUAGUAAAUGUAGUUAAUUUUUAAUUUAGUCCAAGAUUACCGCACUUAAUUAUGUAAUUCUAUCAUGUCCUUCAAAUACCUUUUUCCUCUU
This is a long non-coding RNA of Ziziphus jujuba (common jujube), 942 nucleotides long. RefSeq lists it as uncharacterized. The record is from RefSeq and is a predicted model, not a curated record. The transcript has 2 exons. Lineage: Eukaryota; Viridiplantae; Streptophyta; Magnoliopsida; Rosales; Rhamnaceae.